AGAGUUUGAUCCUGGCUCAGAAUGAACGCUGGCGGCGUGCUUAACACAUGCAAGUCGCACGAGAACGCUUCAGCUUGCUGAAGUUAGUAAAGUGGCGUACGGGUGAGUAACGCGUGGGUAAUCUACCUUCGAAUCGGGGAUAACAUCGCGAAAGCGGUGCUAAUACCGGAUAACAUCCAUUGGGUUCCGGCCUGUUGGAUCAAAGGUGGCCUCUACAUGUAAGCUACCAUUUGAAGAUGAGCCCGCGUACCAUUAGCUUGUUGGUAGGGUAACGGCCUACCAAGGCUACGAUGGUUAGCUGGUCUGAGAGGAUGAUCAGCCACACUGGAACUGACACACGGUCCAGACUCCUACGGGAGGCAGCAGUGAGGAAUUUUGCGCAAUGGGGGAAACCCUGACGCAGCAACGCCGCGUGAGUGAUGAAGGCCUUCGGGUCGUAAAGCUCUGUCAAGUGGGAAGAACCUGAUCCAUACUAAUAUCGUGGAUCACUGACGGUACCACUGAAGGAAGCACCGGCUAACUCCGUGCCAGCAGCCGCGGUAAUACGGAGGGUGCAAGCGUUAUUCGGAAUCACUGGGCGUAAAGGGCGCGCAGGCGGUUUGGUAAGUCAGAUGUGAAAGCCCGGGGCUCAACCCCGGAAGUGCAUUUGAUACUGCCAAGCUUGAGUAUGGGAGAGGGAAGUGGAAUUCCUGGUGUAGAGGUGAAAUUCGUAGAUAUCAGGAGGAACACCGGUG
RNAcentral lists this ribosomal RNA (734 nucleotides) under uncultured delta proteobacterium. RNAcentral's name for it is "bacterial SSU rRNA". It matches the Rfam family "Bacterial small subunit ribosomal RNA", at positions 8 to 714 of the family's 1533-position model. Lineage: Bacteria; Deltaproteobacteria. The record is from RNAcentral.